This 955-nucleotide long non-coding RNA is filed under the name Heterocephalus glaber (naked mole-rat). Its description in RNAcentral is "lncRNA (ENSHGLG00100045917.1)". Lineage: Eukaryota; Metazoa; Chordata; Mammalia; Rodentia; Bathyergidae. The record is from RNAcentral.
AGUAUGGCCGCGGGGACCUCAUUGGAGUGGUGGAGGCACUGACCCGGCAGCCGCGAGCCACGACGGUGCACGCGGUGAGAGACACAGAGCUGGCCAAACUCCCCGAGGGCACUUUGGGCCACAUCAAACGGCGCUACCCGCAGGUCGUGACCCGCCCUCAUUCACCUCCUGAGCCAGAAAAUCCUGGGGAAUUUGCAGCAGCUGCAAGGACCUUUCCCGGGUGAGAGCCAGUCGGCUCCGGGGCAUGCUGUGGGAUGUAGUUUGGUGCCCAGAGCAUGCUGGGAGGGAAAGCCUUAUGGGGGGAGGGGUUAUUGGGAAACAGUUCAUCAUUUGAACCGUGCUGGAGGUGGGGUUAAAGCCGGAAGUGGAACCUAGGGUCCAGUGCAUGCUGGGAAGUGGAGUUCUUGUGUAAUGUACUCUGAAGUGUCAGUCAUGCUUGAGGGUGGAGCCUUAAACCAGAAGGCUGGUUCCAGAUGUUAGAACUUGCUGCACCCUUGGUCGUACUGGGAAGGGUGGCUUUUAGGAUUCAGGGCAUGUUGGGAAGUGGCCUCUGAAGUUAUCAGCAUGUUGAGAGGUAUAUGUAGAUCCAUGUCCCAGCUUGUGAUUCUCAGCAAGUAUAAACUGGGAAGUGAGCUGAGCCCAAGGCAUGCUGAAAUGUGGGCCUGAGGUUCUGCAUGACAGUGACCAAAUUCCCUCAGGAGCUUUCACCCCAUCAGCUGUAACCUCCACCCCUGUGUUGGGACUGGAAUUGAUGACUUACUUACAAAGUACACAGAAAGGGCUGAGGAAUGUAGCUUCCCCAAUGUAGAGUGCUUGACUAACACGCUCUGGUUCAGUCCCUAGUACCACAAGGGAAAAACAGACAGCACAAUGUCAGGAGCUGAUAAGGACAGUAAAGAAGUAGGGUUGUAAUGUAUGUGACCACUGUCAGGAGAGAGGGAGGCCUUUUUUUUUU